GUAGUCCUAGCUGAGAUGGAUUAGCGCUUGCUUGAAAAGCAAGAGAGGCAGGUUCGAUACCUGCGGACUCCAUAGCAACAAA
Molecule: transfer RNA, 82 nt
Filed under: Listeria phage vB_Lino_VEfB7
Lineage: Duplodnaviria; Heunggongvirae; Uroviricota; Caudoviricetes; Herelleviridae
Description: tRNA-Phe
Rfam family: tRNA (bases 1-72)
About the family: Transfer RNA (tRNA) molecules are approximately 80 nucleotides in length. Their secondary structure includes four short double-helical elements and three loops (D, anti-codon, and T loops). Further hydrogen bonds mediate the characteristic L-shaped molecular structure. tRNAs have two regions of fundamental functional importance: the anti-codon, which is responsible for specific mRNA codon recognition, and the 3' end, to which the tRNAs corresponding amino acid is attached (by aminoacyl-tRNA synthetases). tRNAs cope with the degeneracy of the genetic code in two manners: having more than one tRNA (with a specific anti-codon) for a particular amino acid; and 'wobble' base-pairing, i.e. permitting non-standard base-pairing at the 3rd anti-codon position.
Source: RNAcentral